GCCCCCGUAGCCCAACACGGUAGAGGCAGGCCCCCUAAAAGGGUCGACGUGUCGGUUCGAGUCCGACCGGGGGCA
RNAcentral lists this transfer RNA (75 nucleotides) under Streptosporangiales bacterium. RNAcentral's name for it is "tRNA-Leu". It matches the Rfam family "tRNA". From Rfam's summary of the family: Transfer RNA (tRNA) molecules are approximately 80 nucleotides in length. Their secondary structure includes four short double-helical elements and three loops (D, anti-codon, and T loops). Lineage: Bacteria; Bacillati; Actinomycetota; Actinomycetes; Streptosporangiales. The record is from RNAcentral.